RNAcentral lists this ribosomal RNA (972 nucleotides) under Triticum aestivum (bread wheat). RNAcentral describes it as "partial small subunit ribosomal RNA". Lineage: Eukaryota; Viridiplantae; Streptophyta; Magnoliopsida; Poales; Poaceae. The record is from RNAcentral.
AUGAUAGAGCUCGGCAUUUCGAAUCCGACUCGGGACGAACUCGGAGGCGUGCGUGGCCGCCACGCAGUCACGCGGCUAUAUUAUGCCUCCGCCCCGACUGAUUCGAUCGCGCUCUUCCCCUCCUCCGCCUCUCCCCACAUCGUACACACGCACGCGCGCGCUCUAGUUGUAGAUCCCGCCGGCCACCUCCAAACGGCGACCAUGGCGCUCGCAUCCGGGUUCUUCCCGCCGCCGUCGUACACCCCAGGUGAGUCCCAGCGCGCCCCCUUCUUCCUGGGCUUCGGCGGCGAGUGCUGCAACCCGUCGUUUGCCGGCUACUACGACUACGAGGAGUACGCCCCAUCGAGCCCAUCGCCGCUCACGAGCUCCAAGGACUACACUCCGUCGACCCCCCUGCAGUCGCCGGAGCCGGACUUCACUCCGUCGAGCCCGGACUACACUCCGGCGAGCCCCGACUACACUCCGGCGAGCCCGGACUACACUCCCUCGAGCCCCGAGUACACUCCGGCGAGCCCAGACUACACUCCGGCGAGCCCUUCGCCGUCGCUCGAGUACACUUCGUCGAGCCCUGUUCGGCUCGCUUUUAUGAUGCCGUCUCCUCUGCGCGGCGCAUCCCCAGACUACACGCCCCUGACGCCGUCAGAGCACGCUGCUACAUCACCUUACUAUACUCCGUUGAGUCCUCCCGGUCCCGGGCACGCUUCCUCGCCGGAUUACACGCCCAGCACGCCGCCUCCGUCCCCCCUGGUGGUGUCCGACGCCGAGUCGUGCGCGUCGCCGUAUUACACACCGUCAACUCCUUCCAGGCGCGCCGCGUCGCCGGACUACACGCCCAGCACGCCGCCUCCAUCACCCCUGGCGUCAGAAGCAGACUCGACCACGUCUACAGCGCGCUGCCGCCACCAUCCGUACCAGAGGAGCGGCGGCAGCUGGAUCAACCGCGGCGGACGUCAGCGAGCCUUGGGAUACUGA